RNAcentral lists this long non-coding RNA (7530 nucleotides) under Xyrichtys novacula (pearly razorfish). The record is from RNAcentral. Lineage: Eukaryota; Metazoa; Chordata; Actinopteri; Labriformes; Labridae.
UUUUGAAAAUUAAAUAUUACCUCAUUCUCUUCCUUUGUUGAAUUUUUCACACAUUUUUAAUAUGAACCGAAUGUUUUUAGUAGGUGAUAAAUUGGGAUGAGGAUGAGGUCUUUGCUGAGAAAGUUAGUGUUCAGUUUGGAGCGUAUGUCAUCUCGAAACCUGCUUAUACUCUUCUGUGUUUAUCGAGUCUUUCUGGAUGCGUACGCUAACCUCCUUAUGCGUCGCCAUUCCAUCAUGGAUGCUAGUGAUUCCGCUUCAAAGCAGUGGGUCCGUGGUGCAGACAAGGAGAAGGUCUUCUUAGUAUGAUUAAUUCUUUCCUCUUAUAUUAUUAGUCAACUCUACUACAAAUACUAAGCAGUCUUCCAGCACAUUAUAACCUCUGAAUAUUUAAAGUGUUUUCAACAAAGCCACAAGCUACUGCCUGGAAUGUAAACUAAAAGCCUCCUACACACUCCGUUUUCUGUUGUCGUCUUAUUAGUGAUUAAUUCCUCGCACACCUCAUUGUUUGCCAUCUCUCUCCCGCCAGUGUUUGCUUUUGGUCCUGUUUGUUAUGCAAGUAUUAUUAGCGUAAGUAAAUGAGCGCGAGUCAGUGUGAGUUUGUGCAUCUAUUCCUCUGAGUUUGUUGAUGCUCUCAGUGGGCACAUCAACAAAGUCUUAGUUAGGGGAGGGGGGUAAAUUUGCUCUUCCGUCAGUGGAAAGGAGUCGUCGCUGUCCAGGCUUUCGCCGGACCUCGAUGGGACAUGACAUGAAUUGAAGAAAGAGAAACAACUCAAUAUCCUCUUUUUCUAACAGGCUAAAUAUCUUUGCAUCAAACACUCCAAAAUAUCUCCAGCAUUAGCCGUUCCAACUCAUACCUCGGCUGAGAGAAGUCUUUACUCUUGAUUUUUUAAACAGAAAAUUAAUUUUGGCAGUUCGAGGAAUGUUAAAAAUUUCUCGUCGACCACCUGCCAGAAUCAUUUUCUGAAUAAACAGAGGUGUAAAAGAGGCCAUGUAGUGGCAGAAUCACGCUUCAUUUCAUAUUUGUUACACCUGUUUUAACAGAUGUUGAUGAGGUUUGGCAGUUACCUGAGGCAGAAAGUCAAAUCAACAUCAAAACAGUUCUCAUUGUUUCCUGAUUGGGCCUGCAUUCAUCUUGUCAAGAUCAAUUUCGGGGUUUUUUGUUGAAUGGUUUUCACACAGGAGCAAAAAUGGAGACUGUUGUUUUUUUUUAAGCCAACAAGUACAAUGCUUGAUUGUUGUCCUGGAAUAAAACCGUUUAUUUAAUAUCCACCUUUAUCACCAAUGCGUAUAUUUUUUCGGAAAAGGUAAUGUAAUGUAAUUUUAGAACAACUAGGCUAAAAAGAGGAAUCUCACAAGAUCAAGACCUAAUUUUCUAACAUAAAAGCUCCAGUGAGGAGUUUUUAUACAGCUGUGAAAGAGAUUUAAAUUGAUACUAAUACCACUCAAUGAUAUUAAAUUGCAAAAUACACAAUAAUCUACAAGACGGACGGUUUCUACGACACCCAAAAACAAUUUGUGGAGUGAUUAAUGGCACAGUUUUAGUCAAAAUUAACUCGACAAAGACAGUGGAUAGGAAUUUCUUUUGACUGUUUAAAGAGUCAGGGUGAUUUUUUUUUGUAAAUAAAAGAAAAAAAAACACCACAACAGGAGAAAUCAGUUAAGAGAUACGAGGUUCGCCUUUGUCCAAGAGGGCGUAUCAAAGCUGAUAUCGACUUUAAGUCAGAAGAUUACUCUGAAAAUCAAAGGAGUUUGACAAAUAAUACAGUUUUGAGUAUUUUGAGGCUUUUGUGUUGUUGAUUUGUUCAGAGGACAGACGCCGGAACUAUGGAGAGAAACAGUGUGAAAGUGAAUGGUGGCGAUUUUCACAGUGCGCCAACUCCUACCGGAUCUUUUCAGCAGGAAUCGCAAGAACCCACAAGAACCCGUGGCUUUAUGUGCAAUCGCGCGAUAACAGGUUGUCUUCAGCCACACAGGCUAGCAGUAGAUUGUGUCCUUCCAGAGGAGGAAUUCGGCUACUAGAUUUCUAAAAUCAGCAUCUCUAUAUCCAUGGUGUCCUCGGGAUAAAAUGCUGUCUAAAACCUUAAACUUGAUCGUACCCGCCCGUUUGCAUGGUGUGAAAUACGAUCCUCCUGAAACACAUAGUGUUUUAUUUUGAAAAGAAGCUGGAUGUUUUAUUUUGUGUCUUUGCCCGACUUCCUUUCCAGCACAGGUUAAUCUGUGCUGAACUUAUCCGGCAUGCUUCGGCGUCCAGAAAAAAUAGUACUCUUGCACUUAGCUGCAGAGUCCGGUGAUCCACAGCUGAACGGAAAGAAGCCGGUGGAAAUUGACACAUUAACUUGAAUGGUUACGAUCGGCGGAUACGGCCUUUUCAUAGCCGUUCUGGACGCGGUGGAAAUUGCCCUUAACUGUCACUCUGUCGCAUCCAUACCUGUACCCAGACCCCUUUAUCCUGGACCAGACCAAGUAAAGAACAUUAUCUUGGGGGGUAUAGGAUGGCGAGGCAUGAGACUAUCAGGAAAAAUGUAACCAUGGCAACAAUAAUAUAUAUAUGGGGUAAGUUAGGGUCUCAACCAGCAUCCUCUGUUAUUUGUUUAUGACGAUUUAAACAUCUGUCCAGGGGUCUUCCUCUCCCCACAGUCAUGUCUCGUCUUCUCUAAAGAUAUCAGGCCUUAAUGGGCAAACUUUGCUGCGAACAAGGAAAACACUCGGACUCAUUAAAAGACUUGAUGGAAAAUUCAAACCCGAGAUAACCUUGUUUCAUUUUUUAGCAGCUAUUGUAGUAGGAGGUGAGAACUUGUUAUCCUCGGCUGUAGGUGAGGAGAGUAAUAAGGCGAUACGGAGGUUUUCUGCCAAGAAAAUACACGAGUUUGUUUCAUCCGAUCAAAGAAAUUUACGUGCUUUAGCGAGGAUUAGGGUCUUCACUGUGAUACAGCUGCUUAUCCUCUAUGUGUGUUGGAUGACUUGUAGAAAGCACACUGGUUGAGGACGAAUUAUUGAGCCCAUUCAGCGCUUCAUGGAGAAAUAUAAAAUAAAGUCAUUCACUGAGAACAUAGAUGGAAUUAAGAGAAGCAAUCGUGCAGUCAUGGUCGUAGCAAAGAAAAAAACUCCAAUUUAAUUAAAACUUUUUUGUGAAAUGUUUGAAAGAAGAUUGAUCGAGUUUGAAAUGCUUUAAAAAGGAUUUGGAGUCAUGUUUCAUUUUUGUGGGUUUCUAUCUUACAGUUAAUAUCCAAAAGGCGACAAAAAACCCAAAUGAACGGAUGGGUGCGUCUAUACAAAUCCCUCCAUCUCCUUUUUUUUUUUCCAUGAUGAGGAGGUAUAACUCCGCAAACAUGCCGUUCCCUAAAACAGGAAUCAGAGCAAAGACAAAGUAAUGUGAAGUGAAUCUUCCUUAAGAAGGUCAGCUGGAGAGCGCGGAGCCGCGACCGUGACCAUGUCAGUUUUGUUAACGUUUAGACAGCAUGCGGCAAACUGGAAUUGCAGUUGGUGCAGUUCUGCUUGUCAUGCUUCAUAUUUGAGAGAGAGCGUGAGCGCGUCCCGAAGAAUAUGAAGAUCCGUCAGUAACGAGGUCAUUUCGGUGCAAUGGCAACAACUCCGGACACUUUUCAUUCUCCUUUCUCUUCUUGCAGAUUUCUUUCCUAGUUCAAAGUUUUCCAUUGUUGACCAGGAGGGAUCACAGCCCCGCUGACCUUUCAGCUGUGCCUUAAGAGACAUGUUUCAGCCACGAGUCUCUAAUCACAGUUCAUGCCCUUUCACAUGACAUCAGCUUCGAAUGGAGCCGAAGGUUUAGCCUCUGGGCUGCCGUAUUGCUUCUAUGUGCUGACCUUUACUCUACGUUUACUAUAUGAUCGCGGAACAUAUAAAGUCUUGCCUCCUUCUUUCUAAAACUGACCUCCAUUCAGAUUCUCUCAACAACAACAUUCGUCUCUCAAUUUGCCCCAAUCCAGGAAACAAACACCUUUGACUAUUAUAAGCAUUCGGAUCUUGUCCAGAAAGGCUUGCCAAUACGGCAUCAUGCACCUUCUGUCUCCCUCUGGAGCCGUAUGCAAAGCGCCGACAAAAAUACCUGACCAGCCGCAAGGAAGCUAAGGUGAACGCCUUUUAUCACUCUGACAUAAGUGAAUGAAAUGAGGAGGAAAUGGAGAGAUGGCAAUUGGGACAAAUCGCCUUGAAAAUCGAACAUGACAAGCCUCUGAUUGUAAUCUCCAUGUAGACUUUUUGGGGAUGGAGUGUCCAUGACGAGGGUGAAAUAUGAUUGAAUAUGAAGCUAAUUUUUGGAGGAAGGUGGCAGAGGGAAACAGACCCAAAUAUAUUUGAUGUACCUGGCGGUAUUCGCAUGCACCUGCACACUUCAUGGCUGUUUCUCUGGGAGCAAAACUUGGAAGAUAAUUUUAGAGUUGAGGCUUUCAUGUCUGGUGGCAUCUAGACUUUUUGGACUGGGGUGGGGGAAUGAAGUUUGUGUAUAAAUUAGUCGAUAUUAUCUUUUUCCCUCUUAGGUUCUCGAAAUAAUCAAGAAGUCAACUAUGUGCUUAGGUUGUGUCUUCAUACAAAAAUGUCAUCCUGCCAUUUUUUGUCCAUCAAAUAAUUAUAAACUUUUUGUAGUAAAUAUAGAAACUUCAGUCGGACAUCUGCAACAGCAAUCCAGAGGAACCUACGGGAUGAGGGAGCUCAUAGACGGCCCCUGCAAAAAAGUGUUUUUUGUGACGGGAAGAACAGUUCUUUUCUUCACUUGGUGACACAUGUUGUUCAUUCGCCAAGUCCCGAAGGAAGAAUCACUCCCCUGCCCUGAAAAACCCACCUCUCUGUGUGUCGCCGUCGGCGGAAACAACACAGCAGCACGCCCGCUAGACAAGCGCGAGUCGUCUUUCUUUUAAAACGUGGAAAAGUGGAGAGAUUAAAAAUACAUAAACAUCGCAGCUGUAGCGGGAAUUCUGCUACUUUUAAAGAGAUCAAAUAGCGUUUUGCUAAAUCGGCUGAAAUUAAAUCCUUCUUGCAGGAAAGUUUAUACACGUAUUUAAUGCAAAGGCGCUAUAAUGACCUGUUUUAUCUUAGCCUCAGUGAACGAACCGGUGCUCGGCAGGUCAUGAACGACGCUACACCCCUCCCUCCUGCUUGCAUCAAGUCAUUUGGAAGUUCACCAUAUCGUUCACAGACUGAGUGAUCCAUAUCGUUCAUUCGUUCAUGUCGUUCGCCAAAGAGUCAAAGGCAGCAGUUCCACUCCCGACCUGCGUGCCAGGCUCAGGUCUCGAAUCAGGUCUUGGAGUGAUUACGUUCACAUCGUUCAUUUAGCAGUUCCGUUCUUUUGAACGAAACGUACAUGAACGACACGACACUAGCCAUGUCCCAUCUGUUUACAUGGAGGAGGCGGGCUUUAUGACUGCAGCCAAUCACUAGAGUCGUUUUGCUUUAGUCUGAUUAUAUCUAUCAAAUGUAGUUUGACACGUACUCUGAGUAAAACAGACUGAUGUGUUAUUCCAUGUUUCUUUCUCUCUACUGUAUCAGUUGAAGGCGACGCCUCACUGAGCAGGAACACUGCAGGUUUACAAUCCUUCCCAUAGGUUAGGGCACAGGCCAGCGCACAAGUGAGAAAACAACUGUUUAGUGUCUGUUUUCACGCACUCAGGCGAGAGAUUUCUGUGCGAGCGAAAAAAAUCCCAGUAAUUGUAGAGCAGACUGACCAAAGCCUGGGGCAAGAGCGGAUAAAACUCUGCGUGUGUAAAGGAAAAUUUCUCUUCUCCUAAUUGUUUGCAUACUAAAAUUAUAAUGCAAAUAUCUUCACCGUCAACAAACUUUGCUCAAACUUGGUACACACACACCCCGAUGCAUAGCGAGUUUGCUUGUUACCAAUGCGUUGAGAGCGGUUGUAGAUUAAACACAGGACAAAGUCCGAUCCAUCCUGAAUUUAAUCAAGCUAUAGCCCGGAGCGAGGUAAAAGAUAAUUUCCCCAUAUGCAUUGUAAUCAUUAGCUUAAUGUUUUGUUUUUGAAGAGGCAGAUAUCACAGAAUGAAUUGUUAAUACUCUGCGUACUUCAAACACCACAUUUAUAAAAGCAUAGUUGAGUGAAUUUCUUAAGAGGAUGUUUUAAAAAGAGCCGGAAGAUCUUGUAUAGCUUCUGUGCAGAUGCUUGUAUAGUAGAACUGCGAUAAAUGUUCCGCUGAGAUGUAGAUAAAUGUCUUUUUCAAUAGGGGUGUCUGUAAGUAAGGUGGAAUUAUGCUCUAAAUAUGUCAGUAGCCUUGACAGCUCCUCCUGAUGUCUUCUGGGUAAUCAGUGGUAAGAAUUUGUCUCAAUGCAUAUUCAGAAGCACGCAUACUAAACAGACACAGAUCCUCGCUGCAAAAAUGUGCGAUGACACUCUUUUUCAAAAACCCGAGAUCACCAUAGGUGUAAAUGGAGCAUGAAUUGUGUGUGUCUGUGUGUAAAGGGAAAGCGGAUGUGUGGUGUUUCCAUUUCUUCACACUGCUGCAUGCUUUAAUCUUCUGUUGGUAACAGGCAAACACCAGCGGGCUCCUCGCUAUGUAGAUGGGCUGAAUAAAUUCCGAUCGGCACAUGCAUGCAUAAGCACACGGCUGCGAAAACCAUACUGUGCACAGUCAUGAAGGCUGCAUUAGCUCCAAUAUUUCAUGAACGCACAAGACAGCAAUGGGCCUGGCUGGGCAACGUCGCUAUGCAAUUAUGUGGACUGAGGUCUGCACUGCAGUAUACUUGAUUGAUCCUAUCAAGCCGAAAUGGACCCAGGCACCAGAAUGGGCUGGGGCAGUAGUUUAUCAUGAAGCCGGGGUGUAUGAGGAAACGGAGCUGGUUACUUGUUAAGUCCUCUGAAGUCUUUUUCUCUUCAUACUUUAUAUUUUUUCUUAUUACCGGACUGUUAAAUCUUGAAAUUACCAAUUAAAAAAAUUAAUAAGGCAGUUUAGGCAAAGAUCACUGUCAUCAUUAAAAGGACAAACACCAGACAAACCGAGGCCUCCAUUUAUCAAGCGUGUCAAUCCAUCCGAAACUUCCCCCAAUGACAUUUUGUCUCACAGACGAGAGUCAUAACUCACAAAACUUGUCCAAUCUUAUUUUCGGUCGACCUGUUUUGUCACGGCGCCUCAUAAGAGUCAUUUCUAAGAUAUGAGAACACCAGACGCUGCUAAAGAAAGGCAGAUAGAUCCAGACACAUGUGCAGCCAGACAGUCAGACAAGUUGUUAACAAGCAAGUUGUUUAGUCGGGUUUUUGAGACAAUAUAGUGGAUAUUCAUGCUUUAUAAUAAACAAGUAUAGUCUGACUUUCAUUUUCUAUAAAAACAUUAAGCUAAUGUUGCUAGUAGUACUUUCAGGAUGUAGCUUUGUUUAGCACAUCCUGAGUAGUUUCCACUGAGGAACACUCAAUUGUAGGAAUUAAUACAACGUCAUAAAUCAAAUACACCUCAUUAUUUUGUUAAAAUUGCAAUGAUUUCACAGCGUGUUUUAAGUUUAAGAAACAUCCCGACAGUGCAUUAGCUAAUAUCAGAACAAAGCUAAUGUUAGACACCCUGUCAAGAGAUGAAUGCUCCC